RNAcentral lists this ribosomal RNA (700 nucleotides) under Halomonas sp. MT3. RNAcentral describes it as "bacterial SSU rRNA". It matches the Rfam family "Bacterial small subunit ribosomal RNA", at positions 199 to 912 of the family's 1533-position model. The record is from RNAcentral. Lineage: Bacteria; Pseudomonadati; Pseudomonadota; Gammaproteobacteria; Oceanospirillales; Halomonadaceae.
UUGGAAAGAUUUUUCGGUUGGGGAUGGGCUCGCGGCCUAUCAGCUUGUUGGUGAGGUAAUGGCUCACCAAGGCGUCGACGGGUAGCCGGCCUGAGAGGGUGACCGGCCACACUGGGACUGAGACACGGCCCAGACUCCUACGGGAGGCAGCAGUGGGGAAUAUUGCACAAUGGGCGCAAGCCUGAUGCAGCAACGCCGCGUGAGGGAUGACGGCCUUCGGGUUGUAAACCUCUUUUAGCAGGGAAGAAGCGAAAGUGACGGUACCUGCAGAAAAAGCGCCGGCUAACUACGUGCCAGCAGCCGCGGUAAUACGUAGGGCGCAAGCGUUAUCCGGAAUUAUUGGGCGUAAAGAGCUCGUAGGCGGUUUGUCGCGUCUGCUGUGAAAUCCCGAGGCUCAACCUCGGGCCUGCAGUGGGUACGGGCAGACUAUAGUGCGGUAGGGGAGAUUGGAAUUCCUGGUGUAGCGGUGGAAUGCGCAGAUAUCAGGAGGAACACCGAUGGCGAAGGCAGAUCUCUGGGCCGUAACUGACGCUGAGGAGCGAAAGGGUGGGGAGCAAACAGGCUUAGAUACCCUGGUAGUCCACCCCGUAAACGUUGGGAACUAGUUGGGGGGUGCAUUCCGCGGAUUCCGUGACGCAGCUAACGCAUUAAGUUCCCCGCCUGGGGAGUACGGCCGCAAGGCUAAAACUCAAAGGAAUUG